AGAGUUUGAUCCUGGCUCAGGACGAACGCUGGCGGUGCGCUUAAUGCAUGCAAGUCGGACGGGCAAAGGGGCUUCGGCCUCGGCGCUAGUGGCAGACGGCUGAGUAACACGUAAGUGAUCUGCCCCGGAGCGGGGGAUAAUCCGGAGAAAUUCGGUCUAAUACCCCGUACGUUGAGCGAGUUUAGGCUCGCUGAAGAAAGGCUUCGGUCGCUCUGGGAGGAGCUUGCGGCUUAUCAGGUAGUUGGCGGGGUAAAGGCCCACCAAGCCGAAGACGGGUAGCCGAUGUGAGAGCAUGAUCGGUCAGAGGGGGACUGAGACACGGCCCCCACUCCUACGGGAGGCAGCAGCAGGGAAUCUUGGGCAAUGGGCGAAAGCCUGACCCAGCGACGUCGCGUGGGGGAUGAAGGCCUUAGGGUUGUAAACCCCUUUUCCCGGGGAUGAGAAAGGACAGUACCCGGGGAAUAAGGUUCGGCUAACUACGUGCCAGCAGCCGCGGUAACACGUAGGAACCGAGCGUUGUCCGGAUUUACUGGGCGUAAAGUGCGCGUAGGCGGUUCGUUAAGUCUCAUGUGAAAUCUCCCGGCUCAACUGGGAGGGGUCAUGGGAAACUGGCGGACUUGAGUGCAGCAGAGGAGAGCGGAAUUCCCGGAGUAGUGGUGGAAUGCGUAGAUACCGGGAGGGAACACCAGUGGCGAAAGCGGGCUUUGCCAGGGCGCGGCCUGACGCUGAGGUACGAAAGCGUGGGGGAGCGAACCGGGAUUAGAUACCCGGGUAGUCCACGCCGUAAACGAUGGAUGCUAGACGUGGGGAGUAUCGACCCUUUCCGUGUCGCAGCUAACGCGAUAAGCAUCCCGCCUGGGGACUACGGCCGCAAGGCUAAAACUCAAAGGAAUUGACGGGGGCCCGCACAAGCAGCGGAGCGUGUGGUUUAAUUCGAUGCAACGCGAAGAACCUUACCUGGGCUUGACAUGCGCCGGAAGCCGGCUGAAAGGUCGGCGCCCUUCGGGGCUGGCGCACAGGUGCUGCACGGCUGUCGUCAGCUCGUGUCGUGAGAUGUUGGGUUAAGUCCCGCAACGAGCGCAACCCUCGUCCUGUGUUGCCAUGAAUGGGACUCGCAGGAGACCGCCAGCGACAAGCUGGAGGAAGGUGGGGACGACGUCAAGUCAUCAUGGCCUUUAUGUCUAGGGCUACACACGUGCUACAAUGGGUGGUACAACGGGUUGCCAAGUCGCGAGACGGAGCUAAUCCCAAAAAAACGCUCGUAGUCCGGAUAGGAGUCUGCAACUCGACUCCUUGAAGUCGGAAUCGCUAGUAAUCGCGAAUCAGAAUGUCGCGGUGAAUACGUUCCCGGGCCUUGUACACACCGCCCGU
RNAcentral lists this ribosomal RNA (1371 nucleotides) under uncultured marine bacterium. RNAcentral's name for it is "bacterial SSU rRNA". It matches the Rfam family "Bacterial small subunit ribosomal RNA". The record is from RNAcentral.